This 1245-nucleotide ribosomal RNA is filed under the name metagenome. RNAcentral describes it as "bacterial LSU rRNA". It matches the Rfam family "Bacterial large subunit ribosomal RNA", at positions 1564 to 2817 of the family's 2925-position model. The record is from RNAcentral.
UGAGUACGAGAUGCUACGGCAUCGAAGCAGUCUAUGUCAUACUUCCAAGAAAAGCUUGCAAUGUCAUAAACAAAUAAUGCCUGUACCAUAACCGACACAGGUGGGUAGGUAGAGUAUACUAAGGGGCGCGAGAUAACUCUCUCUAAGGAACUCGGCAAAAUGACUCCGUAACUUCGGGAGAAGGAGUGCCUUAUUUUUAUAAGGUUGCAAUAACAAGAUCCAAGCAACUGUUUACCAAAAACACAGGUCUCCGCUAAGUCGUAAGACGAUGUAUGGGGGCUGACGCCUGCCCAGUGCCAGAAGGUUAAAGAAGUUGGUUAGCAUUAGCGAAGCUGAUAACUGAAGCCCUGGUGAACGGCGGCCGUAACAAUAACGGUCCUAAGGUAGCGAAAUUCCUUGUCGGGUAAGUUCCGACCCGCACGAAAGGCGUAAUGAUUUGGAUACUGUCUCGGAGAGGGGCUCGGUGAAAUAGACUUGUCUGUGAAGAUGCGGACUACCUGCACCUGGACAGAAAGACCCUAUGAAGCUUUACUGUAACUUGAGAUUGAAAUUGGACUUUAUCUGCGCAGUAUAGGUGGGAGACGUUGAAAAUAUUCUUGCGGGAAUAUUGGAGUCAUCAGUGAGAUACCACUCUUAUAAUGUUAGAUUUCUAACUUUGUAUCAUUAUCUGGUCAAAGAACAGUUUCAGGCGGGCAGUUUGACUGGGGCGGUCGCCUCCCAAACGGUAACGGAGGCGCACAAAGGUUUCCUCUGAACGUGUAGAAAUCGUAUCUAGAGUGUAAAGGCAUAAGGAAGCUUGACUGUGAGACCUACAAGUCGAGCAGGGACGAAAGUCGGUCUUAGUGAUCUGACGGUGCUGAGUGGAAAGGCCGUCACUCAACGGAUAAAAGUUACUCUAGGAUAACAGGCUGAUCUCCCCCAAGAGUUCACAUCGACGGGGAGGUUUGGCACCUCGAUGUCGGCUCAUCGCAUCCUGGGGCGGUAGUACGUCCCAAGGGUUGGGCUGUUCGCCCAUGAAAGCGGUACGCGAGCUGGGUUCAGAACGUCGUGAGACAGUUCGGUCCAUAUCCGGUGUAGGCGUUAGAAUAUUGAGAGGAGCCUUCUUUAGUACGAGAGGACCGAGAAGGACAUACCUCUGGUGUACCAGUUAUCGUGCCAACGGUAAACGCUGGGUAGCCAUGUAUGGAGAGGAUAACCGCUGAAAGCAUCUAAGUGGGAAGCCCACCUCAAGAUAAGUAUUCUCGU